GAAUGUCAUACUAAAAUUCGUCAUGUGGAUGCUCAUGCAACCUUGAGUGAUGGAGUAGUUGUCCAGGUCAUGGGUUUGCUGUCUAACAGUGGACAACCAGAAAGAAAGUUUAUGCAAACCUUUGUUCUGGCUCCUGAAGGAUCUGUUCCAAAUAAAUUUUAUGUUCACAAUGAUAUGUUUCGUUAUGAAGAUGAAGUGUUUGGUGAUUCUGAGCCUGAACUUGAUGAAGAAUCAGAAGAUGAAGUAGAAGAGGAACAAGAAGAAAGACAACCAUCUCCUGAACCUGUGCAAGAAAAUGCUAACAGUGGUUACUAUGAGGCUCACCCUGUGACUAAUGGCAUAGAGGAGCCUUUGGAAGAAUCCUCUCAUGAACCUGAACCUGAGCCAGAAUCUGAAACAAAGACUGAAGAGCUGAAACCACAAGUGGAGGAGAAGAACUUAGAAGAACUAGAGGAGAAAUCUACUACUCCUCCUCCGGCAGAACCUGUUUCUCUGCCACAAGAACCACCAAAGGUUAGAUCAAAGAACUCUUUAGACUUACAACAUCACAUGUUCAAAUUUGGUGCUGUUAAUGAAGUAUGACCUUUUUCUAUUAUGUUAAAUUGUUUAGUAAAUUAUUUUAUGUAUAUGAAAGAAGCUGUGGGGUUUGUUACCUGAGAAA
This 661-nucleotide small RNA is filed under the name Pan troglodytes (chimpanzee). Its description in RNAcentral is "retained intron". The record is from RNAcentral. Lineage: Eukaryota; Metazoa; Chordata; Mammalia; Primates; Hominidae.